AUGGCUCAGAACGAACGCUGGCGGCGCGUUUAAGCAUGCAAGUCGAGCGGCAAGGGCCUUCGGGCCCUAGAGCGGCGGACGGGUGAGUAACACGUGGACAAUCUGCCCCCGGCCCGGGAUAGCCCAGGGAAACCUGGAUUAAUACCGGAUGAGACGGGACCCGCGAUGGCGGGAUCCGGGAAAGGCGCUGCGGCGCCGCCGGGGGAUGAGUCUGCGUCCCAUUAGCUAGACGGCGGGGUAACGGCCCACCGUGGCGACGAUGGGUAGCCGGCCUGAGAGGGUGGACGGCCACAUUGGAACUGAGACACGGUCCAGACUCCUACGGGAGGCAGCAGCUAAGAAUCUUCCGCAAUGGGCGAAAGCCUGACGGAGCCGACGCCGCGUGAACGAAGAAGGCCGUGAGGUUGUAAAGUUCUUUUCGGGAGGGGGAACAACCGUGGCAGGGAAUGGCCGCGGGAUGACGUGAAUCCCGGAAUAAGCCCCGGCUAACUACGUGCCAGCCGCCGC
This 507-nucleotide ribosomal RNA is filed under the name uncultured bacterium. Its description in RNAcentral is "bacterial SSU rRNA". It matches the Rfam family "Bacterial small subunit ribosomal RNA", at positions 19 to 518 of the family's 1533-position model. The record is from RNAcentral.